ACAUGCAAGUCGAGCGGUAGCACAGAGAGCUUGCUCUCGGGUGACGAGCGGCGGACGGGUGAGUAAUGUCUGGGAAACUGCCUGAUGGAGGGGGAUAACUACUGGAAACGGUAGCUAAUACCGCAUAACGUCGCAAGACCAAAGUGGGGGACCUUCGGGCCUCAUGCCAUCAGAUGUGCCCAGAUGGGAUUAGCUAGUAGGUGGGGUAACGGCUCACCUAGGCGACGAUCCCUAGCUGGUCUGAGAGGAUGACCAGC
RNAcentral lists this ribosomal RNA (257 nucleotides) under Klebsiella pneumoniae. RNAcentral describes it as "partial 16S ribosomal RNA". It matches the Rfam family "Bacterial small subunit ribosomal RNA", at positions 53 to 308 of the family's 1533-position model. The record is from RNAcentral. Lineage: Bacteria; Pseudomonadati; Pseudomonadota; Gammaproteobacteria; Enterobacterales; Enterobacteriaceae.